UGACGGUACCCUACUAGAAAGGAGCCGCUAACUUCGUGCCAGAAGCGUCGGUAAUACGGGGGCUCCAAGCGUUAUCCGGUGUUAUUGGGCGUAAAGAGUCGUGUAGGUGGUUGGGUAAGUUAUCUUUCAAAUAUCUUUGCUUAACAAAGAGGAGGGGGAUAAUACUGCUCGACUAGAAUUUUCUCAAGGGAGAUCGGAACUGAGGGAGGAGUAGUGAAAUGCGUUGAUACCCUCGGGAACACCAGUGGCGUAGGCGGAUCUCUGGGAGAAGAUUGACACUGAGACACGAAAGCUAGGGGAGCGAAGCAGAUUAGAGACCUGCGUAGUCCUAGCCGUAAACGCAUGCUUGCUAGCUGCAUGAAUCUACCUUCGGGUGGUAUCGUGUGGCGAAGGUAACCCGUUAAGCAAGCCGCCUGGAAAGUACGGCCGCAAGGCUGAAAUUCAAAGGAAUUGGCGGGGAGGCACACAGCCAGUGGAACAUGUGGUUUAAUUCGAGACUAACCGAAGAACCUCACCAGGGUUUGACAUGUAGCUGCACGUCUUAAGAAAUUAAGACUCUCUUGAAGGUGCUACACAGGUGCUGCAUGGCGGUCGUCAGCUCGUUCCGUGAGGAGUGCCCUUAAGUGGGACAACGAGCGCAACCCCUAUUACAUGUUAGAAAUGUCAUGUAAGACUGCCUUGCCAUUUGGCGGGGAGGAAGGGGGGGCAGACGUCAAGUCCGCAUGGUCCUUAUGCCCUGGGCUACACACAUGUUACAAUGAGUACGGCAAUGAGUCUGUCGCGAGCACGUAAGUGUAAGCUAAUCUCUUAAAUGUACUCUCAGUGGGGAUUGAGGUCUGCAACUCGACCUCAUGAACACGGAAUUGGUAGUAAUCGCGGGUCAGCUAUACCGCGGUGAAUACGUUCUUGCCUCUUGCACACACCGCCCGUCAAACCAGCAAAGUCGAUUGUAUCCGAACCUC
RNAcentral lists this ribosomal RNA (962 nucleotides) under uncultured organism. RNAcentral describes it as "bacterial SSU rRNA". It matches the Rfam family "Bacterial small subunit ribosomal RNA", at positions 470 to 1429 of the family's 1533-position model. The record is from RNAcentral.